RNAcentral lists this long non-coding RNA (320 nucleotides) under Gossypium barbadense (sea-island cotton). Its description in RNAcentral is "long non-coding RNA (GBAR_LNC002105)". The record is from RNAcentral. Lineage: Eukaryota; Viridiplantae; Streptophyta; Magnoliopsida; Malvales; Malvaceae.
UCAAAGCAACAAUAAAAGUGAGCAUGAAAGAAAGAAUAUAUGCUUUAAAGGCUUAAUAUCUCACAAAAAUUAUGGCUUUUUAAUGUUUAACUUGUGAAUUUCAACUCAAGAUAAUACCUAAACUUGAGGAAACAACCUAAAAAUUUUAAUCAGCCAAGGCACUGAUGAGAGUGGAGGAGGAUACUCCGAUGGUGGUAGAGGUUGGGUUCCAUAACCACAGUGUUCAGCGAAGAGGUUCUCGUGGUGGUCGGGCAGGACAUGGCAGUCGUGGAGAACUUUUUCUAGUGGAGUUGCAAAUUCUUAAGUAAUAGUGAGCUUUG